Molecule: long non-coding RNA, 735 nt
Filed under: Olea europaea subsp. europaea
Lineage: Eukaryota; Viridiplantae; Streptophyta; Magnoliopsida; Lamiales; Oleaceae
Source: RNAcentral
AUUUUUCCUCAUUCUCUCGUCUCCGCUAGCAACCCAACCCGGUUCUUGCCCAAAUCCAAUCCAUCAUAUUUGAUUCUACUUAUCUCUCAACAAUCACACAUUCAUGUGAUUUGGAAUUGCCGAUCUGUAAGAUGAACGGACAUUACGAAGUAUGGCCACGAAGACUUUGAAUCUUUUCAUUCUGCUUCUCAUAUUCUCACUAUUGGCACUCUGAGCCCUCGACUAGACGACGUCGAUGCUGCCUUUAGUCUUUCUUCCAUUGACACCAUCAGCGGCCAGUAGCGCAAGCAGCUGUGAUUCAUUUUUGGAAGCAGAAAGCAAGUGAACUAGAACUACUGAACCGUGAACAAGUGAAGCCGGAAGCCCUCUCGUUGAACUUUUCUUUUUAGUUAUUUUGAUUUGAUUCGAGCCUAGAAUCAAGAUGAGUCACUUUUGUGAUUCUUAUGAAAUUCAUUUGUUGAUUUGCAGGUAGAAGAACUCAGUCUCACAAGCUGCUGGAGCGAUAGAGCCUCAAGCCUGGAGUUAAUACCUCAUUGGAUACUGCCCCUGUCCCCCAAGCCUGGAGUUUGUGAUCACUUUGAUUUAUCUAUAAUUGAUUUUAAAACCCUUCUAGAUUAAGUGCUUAUUUAUUUAUGACUUUUAAGUUUUAAGCCAUUUGUUUGGUGAUUAGGUGUUAAUGAAUUAAUUUAUAAGUUCUCCCUUUUCUUUUUCAUCUAUUUGAUUUUAUUAUUUCUG